This 125-nucleotide small RNA is filed under the name Marmota monax (woodchuck). The record is from RNAcentral. Lineage: Eukaryota; Metazoa; Chordata; Mammalia; Rodentia; Sciuridae.
GCUGGGUGCAGUGGUGCACGCCUGAAAUCCCAGCAGCUCAGGAGGCUGAGGCAGGAGGAUUGCAAGUUCAAAGUCAGCCUUAGCAAAAGUGAGGCCUUAAGCAACUCAGUGAGACCCUGUCUCUA